GGGCCUAUAGCUUAGUGGUACAGCAUUUGACUGCAGAUCAAGAGGUUACCGGUUUGAACACGGUUGAUCACUUUUAUGUUACUUGUUAUUAUAUAAUAAUAAGAGGUCAACGGUUCGAACCCGGUUGAGCCCU
Molecule: non-coding RNA, 133 nt
Organism: Picea glauca (white spruce)
Lineage: Eukaryota; Viridiplantae; Streptophyta; Pinopsida; Pinales; Pinaceae
Source: Rfam